AAUAUUGCGCAAUGGCCGAAAGGCUGACGCAGCGACGCCGCGUGCGGGAGGAAGCCCUUCGGGGUGUAAACCGCUGUCAGGGGGGACGAACCGCCGGGGUGGGAAUACUGCUCCGGUCUGACGGUACCCCCAGAGGAAGCACCGGCUAACUCCGUGCCAGCAGCCGCGGUAAUACGGAGGGUGCGAGCGUUGUUCGGAAUUACUGGGCGUAAAGCGCGCGCAGGCGAAUGUGCAAGUCGAAGGUGAAAUCCCGGGGCUCAACCCUGGGACUGCUCUCGAUACUGCAUGUCUAGGGACCGGUAGAGGUCGGUGGAAUUCCCGGUGUAGCGGUGGAAUGCGUAGAUAUUGGGAGGAACACCAGUGGCGAAGGCGGCUUCCUGGACUGCACCUGACGCUGAGGCGCGAAAGCUAGGGGAGCGAAC
Molecule: ribosomal RNA, 422 nt
Filed under: uncultured bacterium
Lineage: Bacteria
Description: partial 16S ribosomal RNA
Rfam family: Bacterial small subunit ribosomal RNA
Source: RNAcentral